Molecule: long non-coding RNA, 182 nt
Organism: Quercus robur (English oak)
Lineage: Eukaryota; Viridiplantae; Streptophyta; Magnoliopsida; Fagales; Fagaceae
Exons: 2
Source: RefSeq, a predicted model, not a curated record
CAGACAGAAUGGCAGUUAGCAAGCACAUUGUGUUGCAGUUCGGAAAUCUCAUGGUGAGAGGUUGUCCUGUUUGUCAUUGUCCCCUCCACCUUGUAAGCAUUCAAUUGAUGAAUAUAUAUGCAUAGCUCCAACUCCACUCCUUGUAAUUCUUCUCAUCUCUUUCCCAAUAUUUGUUGUGUUUA